CAUUUCUCUCUCUUUGUCUUUUGCCUUACUAAUUCUGAUGUGAUUGUUUUUUCAGCCUCAACUGAAUAGCAGAGAGAUUUUGGCUUUCAUUCCAGAAUGAUGUCUCACAGAAAGUCAACUCGUGUUCCAGGUAUGUGAUAAACAUCUCACUAGUGAACUUCUUGCUGUUUCUAAGCGAUUAACGGUUUGGUUAGCAAGCCCAGAGCCCUGCAGAUACCUUUUGCCUCCUACACAAGAAGUAAGCUAAUGAAACCCACGGAGCACGGCCUGCCCCUCUGCUUCCCUUUAAUGGUUUCUGUCACCCAGGCCAGGCUGCCGCCACCAUGACUCUGCACAUCGAUGUGCCGCCUCAGGGCAAGCAGAAUGCAAAUGACGGUGGCCCUCAAAUUGCAAUUUAAGGAUAGCUGUUAUAUCUUCCCAUAUAUUUCUCUUCCUAACCUCCAAAUUUGAGGAUAAUGUGCUGUUUUAACUUAUUCUUAGUAGGAAGAAUGUUAAACCUUAGGGUGAUGGUAGUGUAUUGCUGAAUUCUGUGUUUUGGAAUAAAUUAGAUUUUUUUGAUGUGGAGAAGGGAGAAAGGGGGAGAACUAAAUGCAAAGAUAAUUUGAUUUUAAAAGCUGGAGUUUCCUGGUUCCUGGGUUCUAGAUAUUUAAAAAAUAGCCACAAUUAAUUAUGUAAUAAAUUGUAGGAGGUUGUCAAGUUGUCAUCUUUAUUAAGGUGUUUCUUGCCAGACAUAUUCAAAAUCUGUGUACUCAGAUGUUAACUGCAUUUGACUCUAUUGAUUAAAAUAUACUUUCUGCCAUCAAAAUGGAACUCCAAGAUGUAAAGGGAAAGAACACUUUAAAAGGCGUUUCCAAAGUCGUCUUGGAUAGAGGAGCUUUCAUCCAAGGGUGCUAUGUGGCAUUCCGGAAAUGAAUCAGAGACUUGGGCCCUCCACUUCCUUAGAAACAGAGACACGCUGAAGAUCGUUAGGGUAAAUGAGUGGGACAAAGUACACUCUGCAUUUUCUUUUUAAUUUCAACUAAAAAAAAUGCUGCACUCUUGUCUUGGCUGGAGAAACAUCCUCAGCCUGUUCAUCUCCUAUCCUCUGCCCAAAUCAACUCCAAAUUUGACUGACUGAAUUUUCAGUUCCUAUAUUUUCAGAUCAGUUCCUGUAUUUUCAGAUCUGGCUCUCUCUGUGGUUGUGGUGGUAGCAGUGGUAGUGGUUAUGGAGUCUGUAAGACUUGCCAUUUUUAAAAUGCCGAAAGCUCUCUUCAGGUUAAAUAGUCUCUCUGUGUGAUUCUCAAAUGAACUCCUUGAGGAAGAAUGUUCUGUGUGUAUCUAGAAACCUUAGUUCUACAAGAAUGAGAGCUAAAGAAGCUCACCCAUGUCCCACAGAAACCACUUCUUCCCUUUCCUGAACAAGAAACCGAUGUUCUUCAUCUACUGUCUGUCCACCCAGGCUUGGAAGACAGGUGAAAACAAUCCCAUCUUUCUAUUCCUAGAAAGAGGUAGGGAUGUGAUGCUUACAUUCCCCUGGCUUUUACUUGCAUCAAAUGUGGGAGGAAGGAAUAAAAGAGAAGAGGAAACUAAAACCUGAGAAAGGGCAAGAAGAGAAAGUAUUAGGUUGAUGCAAAAGUAAUUGUGGUUUUUGCAAUUACUUUUAAUAGCGAAUCCCCGCCCCCCAAAAUCAUCUAGCAAUCUGCCCUCUGGAGUGAACUUGAAUAAAAGUAGGUAAUAGUACCACUCUUGGCUUAGAAGUAUCUGAUUAUCCCUACUAACCAGUACAAGACAUAGAUUUCUGAAGGAAAAGGAUGCCUACCAUUGGCUCUUUUUUGUUUUUGUAGUUUGAUUUUUCUUAUUUUUUAAAAGGUUCUAAAAAUAAUACAUAUAUACCUGGUAGAAAAUUUGAAACUUAGAAAGAAGUUAAAAGAAGCCUACAAAAUAUCACCGCAUCAUAUUAUCUUAUUAGCCAAAUGCAACCACCACUACCAUCCAGGGAGGGUUCUUGCCAGUAUUUUCUCUAUUUUUUCGUAUGCUUUUAAAAAUCUUCACAACUAAAAUCAUUCUGUGCACAGAAUUUCACAUACUACUUUUUAUUCAAUCAAAAAUAUUUUCUCAUGUGUUUAUUAAUUCUUUAAAUAUUAUUUUAAUGGCAGUAUAAUUUGCCAUCAUAUGACUAUAUUAUAAUUUAUUAAUAAUUUUCCUAAUAAAGGACAUUCAGAGUGUUUAGAAUUUUAGCCAUUAUAAAUAGUAUUAAAUAAACAUGGUUUUUGUGUGCAUUAAUCUUUACUUUUUAAAUUAUUUCCUUAGAAUAAUCUACUGGAAGUAGGAUUACCAAAUCAAAGAGUAUCAUCAUUUUCAAGACUUUAGUACCUAUCGCCAAGAAAGCUGUAUCAAUUUAUAUUCACAGUAUAUUAAUGUCUUUCUGAAACUGACUGAAUUGAUUAAUGUCAUUUAAAAAUCAUGCUAUCUUGUUAGGCCUCUGAUACUUUGUAUUUACUGGUAAGGCUGAAAAUUGUUUACAGACUAAUGAAACACAUUAUAUAUUAAGGUUAUUUAUUUUGUGCCUUAAUAUUUGAAAAAAUACAUCUUCUUAUCAGUUUGCUUUUUGUCCUUUUUGCUGAUUGUUUAUGAUCUUUUUUGACAUACAAAAAUUUUAUUUUUCUCUAUAUUUCAAUGUAUUGAACUUUGUAUUCUGUAAUUUCUUCUAUUACUGUAAAGUAGAGAAAAUCUGCCUGUAUCUAGAUAAAUAUGCAGAAAUACAUUCUCGUUAUUUAAUUAAUUUUUCAAAAAUAUUUCUUGAAUUUAUCUAGGAUUUGUUAUACGGCGUGAAAAAAAUUUAUUUUUCUCUGAUAAGCUAAAAAUCAUCAUGCACAAUUUAUUACUUUUUCCCCACAGCUUAUAUAUGUAUUCUAUUGACACAUAUGCAAGAUUCUUUUUACAUAUGCGAGAUUAUGUUUUGGGGUUUUCUUUCAGCACUUUACUGAUCUCUUUGCCUAUUCAUUUAUCAGUAGUUUCUCCAUCCCUAGUCCUUUUCUUUCUUUUUUUCUUUCUUUUUUUUCUAAAGUUCUUUUAACUAUUCUUAUUUCUUUCAACUUAAAAGGUGGCCAAGAUGACAUACCAGAAGGCUGUCUAAAAUUAUUGGAGAAAGAGAAUCUUUGCCUUUAAAGUUUUAGGUCUUAGGUGAAAACGAUGCAGUGUUAGCUCUUGUGUCUAUAAAGGGUGGGGUUCAUGCUAUGACACAGAAAAUCAGAAAGGACUUUCUUGACAUUUGUAGAAACAGUAAUAUAAAGAAGAAUUAGGUACCUUUUGGUUCAUCUUAAGUAAAGAAAAUUUCCAGUGAGGAGAUUGAGACAUUUAAUGUUAAAAAGAUCCUCUCUCUUCUAGGGCACGAGUAAAGAUAUCAACCCAUCUAUCUGUAGAAAAUUGCCAGAAACUGUCACAAAAUAAAAAAUGAGAGAAGGCCUGAAUUACGACAGUCCUGGUGGGGUUCUACAAGGCAGCAUGAGGGAGAGGAGAGAGGACUAUUUUACCAAGAUUUUAAGACUUUCAAACAACCAGGGAAGGCUUCUGUGGACAGGCUGUCUCUGCACUAGGACUAAAGAACCAGAACUGUUCAGAAAGAGAGAAGAGCCCAGCACCUUAUACUCAGGAGAUACUGAAAAACAUCAUAUAAGGUGUUUACUGUUGAGAGAAAAGUACACAUCAGAGGAUGCCCAUUAUUGAUAUAGAGCCUUCUCUGUAUCUGGAUGAACGUGACCAGGAAGCCACCCUCAGCCUGCUGCAGCUGUUUUCAGAAUCUGUGGGAUCACACCCCAGAGGCAGUUGGGUCAGCCGCAGGCAUCAGGUGAGGAGGAGGAAGAGUGAGACAGCUAUUACAGGCUGCCGGACCAGGUGGCUGUGAAGAGGUGUGGGGACACCAAGGCUUAUAUAAGGAGGAUGGAGAACACAGGCCAAAGGGGAGGCUGUAAUGCUGACUUCGAUUGGCUAACUUAAUAUAAGGCAGACUGAGGGAGGAGGAGGAGGGCAGGAGAGAACACGCUUUAGAAAGCAUGACGGUGUCUCAUUCUGUUUGCAAGUGAGCACGUAGGUGCCUUCCAAAUAUGAUCCUGAAGAAGGUGCAGAUAAAUGAAAAAUUGGAUAUACAAUAAACCACAUACCUCUUUAUGUUUAUAUAUGAACAUAUUAAAGAAGGUUGGCUUUAGUAGAGUAUGAUGCAUAUUCUAAUUAUAUCAAUAUUGGAUGCAUUGUUAGUACCAUUUCUCAACUUCAUUUAAAAAUCACUUUCAGAAAAUACAAAAAAUAAUUCUGAAGAUUUUAACCUUAGGUGCCCGUAGAUCAUUUUCUUAGGAAACUGCAGCUUUUAGAAAUGCUGGACAUACUUUAUCCAAAGCGUUAUAACUGGUCUUCCACAAGCCUAGGAUAAAGUUUUCCACAGAAACACUACUACAGAAAAAUGCCACAUGCCAUGGAUUAAACACUGAAACCAGCUAAUCACAACACAUGAGAGCAAAUGUAGCAUGUUCAGAGAAGUACAAAUAUGUUGAAACAUGUCUGUCAUGAAAUCUGAUCUUAACAAUCCUCUGAAGACUAGCCUUUUUGCAAAGAGAACUUAUGACUAAUAUACCUCACGGAGGGGGUCUCAGUUUCUAAUAGAGUUAAUUU
This 4644-nucleotide long non-coding RNA is filed under the name Homo sapiens (human). RNAcentral's name for it is "HSALNT0381573". The record is from RNAcentral. Lineage: Eukaryota; Metazoa; Chordata; Mammalia; Primates; Hominidae.